RNAcentral lists this ribosomal RNA (433 nucleotides) under uncultured bacterium. RNAcentral describes it as "partial 16S ribosomal RNA". It matches the Rfam family "Bacterial small subunit ribosomal RNA", at positions 29 to 507 of the family's 1533-position model. The record is from RNAcentral.
AACGAACGCUGGCGGCAUGCCUAACACAUGCAAGUCGAACGAGACGUUCGGGUCUAGUGGCGCACGGGUGCGUAACGCGUGGGAACCUGCCCUUAGGUUCGGAAUAACUCCCCGAAAGGGGUGCUAAUACCGGAUAAUGUCUUCGGACCAAAGAUUUAUCGCCUUUGGAUGGGCCCGCGUUGGAUUAGCUAGUUGGUAGGGUAAAAGCCUACCAAGGCGACGAUCCAUAGCUGGUCUGAGAGGAAGAUCAGCCACACUGGGACUGAGACACGGCCCAGACUCCUACGGGAGGGAGCAGUGGGGAAUAGUGGACAAGGGGCGAAAGUCUGAUCCAGCAAUGCCGCGUAAGUGAUGAAGGCCUUAGGGUUGUAAAGCUCUUUUACCCGGGAUGAUAAUGACAGUACCGGGAGAAUAAGCCCCGGCUAACUCCGUG